AACUCGCAUCAUGAGGUCGUUUAGGUAUAUCUAUAUGCUAUGGAAUGGGGUGAGAUUCUCCAGCUGUUCCCGCAACUGUAAUCCAUGAUGAACAUGGUCAGCCAGAUACUUAGCAACAACAAUUAGUCUUA
This is a non-coding RNA of Pseudoalteromonas lipolytica SCSIO 04301, 131 nucleotides long. NCBI's taxonomy places the organism in Bacteria, Pseudomonadati, Pseudomonadota, Gammaproteobacteria, Alteromonadales, Pseudoalteromonadaceae. The record is from Rfam.